This 1340-nucleotide ribosomal RNA is filed under the name uncultured bacterium. RNAcentral's name for it is "bacterial SSU rRNA". It matches the Rfam family "Bacterial small subunit ribosomal RNA", at positions 28 to 1381 of the family's 1533-position model. The record is from RNAcentral.
GACGAACGCUGGCGGCGUGCUUAACACAUGCAAGUCGAACGGAAAGGCCCUUCGGGGUACUCGAGUGGCGAACGGGUGAGUAACACGUGGGUGAUCUGCCCUGCACUUUGGGAUAAGCCUGGGAAACUGGGUCUAAUACCGAAUACACCUCGCUGGCCGCAUGGUCUGGUGGGGGAAAGCUUUUGCGGUGUGGGAUGGGCCCGCGGCCUAUCAGCUUGUUGGUGGGGUGAUGGCCUACCAAGGCGACGACGGGUAGCCGGCCUGAGAGGGUGACCGGCCACACUGGGACUGAGAUACGGCCCAGACUCCUACGGGAGGCAGCAGUGGGGAAUAUUGCACAAUGGGCGCAAGCCUGAUGCAGCGACGCCGCGUGGGGGAUGACGGCCUUCGGGUUGUAAACCCCUUUCAGCACAGACGAAGCGCGAGUGACGGUAUGUGCAGAAGAAGGACCGGCCAACUACGUGCCAGCAGCCGCGGUAAUACGUAGGGUCCGAGCGUUGUCCGGAAUUACUGGGCGUAAAGAGCUCGUAGGUGGUUUGUCGCGUUGUUCGUGAAAACUCACAGCUCAACUGUGGGCGUGCGGGCGAUACGGGCAGACUAGAGUACUGCAGGGGAGACUGGAAUUCCUGGUGUAGCGGUGGAAUGCGCAGAUAUCAGGAGGAACACCGGUGGCGAAGGCGGGUCUCUGGGCAGUAACUGACGCUGAGGAGCGAAAGCGUGGGGAGCGAACAGGAUUAGAUACCCUGGUAGUCCACGCCGUAAACGGUGGGUACUAGGUGUGGGUUUCCUUCCUUGGGAUCCGUGCCGUAGCUAACGCAUUAAGUACCCCGCCUGGGGAGUACGGCCGCAAGGCUAAAACUCAAAGAAAUUGACGGGGGCCCGCACAAGCGGCGGAGCAUGUGGAUUAAUUCGAUGCAACGCGAAGAACCUUACCUGGGUUUGACAUGCACAGGACGCUGGUAGAGAUAUCAGUUCCCUUGUGGCCUGUGUGCAGGUGGUGCAUGGCUGUCGUCAGCUCGUGUCGUGAGAUGUUGGGUUAAGUCCCGCAACGAGCGCAACCCCUAUCUUAUGUUGCCAGCGCGUCAUGGCGGGGACUCGUAAGAGACUGCCGGGGUCAACUCGGAGGAAGGUGGGGAUGACGUCAAGUCAUCAUGCCCCUUAUGUCCAGGGCUUCACACAUGCUACAAUGGCCGGUACAAAGGGCUGCGAAUCCGCGAGGUGGAGCGAAUCCCUCGAAAGCCGGUCUCAGUUCGGAUUGGGGUCUGCAACUCGACCCCAUGAAGUCGGAGUCGCUAGUAAUCGCAGAUCAGCAACGCUGCGGUGAAUACGUUCCCGGGCCU